Molecule: ribosomal RNA, 504 nt
Filed under: uncultured Nocardioides sp.
Lineage: Bacteria; Bacillati; Actinomycetota; Actinomycetes; Propionibacteriales; Nocardioidaceae
Description: bacterial SSU rRNA
Rfam family: Bacterial small subunit ribosomal RNA
Source: RNAcentral
CCGGGUGCUUACACAUGCAGUCGAGCGGAAAGGCCACUUCGGUGGUACUCGAGCGGCGAGCGGGUAAACGUGAGUAUCUGCCCCUGGCUUUGGGAUAGCCACCGGAAACGGUGAUUAAUACCGGAUAUGACCACUUCUCGCAUGGGUUGUGGUGGAAAGUUUUUCGGCCAGGAAUGUGCUCGCGGCCUAUCAGCUUGAUGGUGAGGUAAUGGCUCACCAUGGCUUCGACGGGUAGCCGGCCUGAGAGGGUGACCGGUCACACUGGGACUGAGACACGGCCCAGACUCCUACGGGAGGCAGCAGUGGGGAAUAUUGGACAAUGGGCGGAAGCCUGAUCCAGCAACGCCGCGUGAGGGAUGACGGCCUUCGGGUUGUAAACCUCUUUCAGUACCGACGAAGCGCAAGUGACGGUAGGUACAGAAGAAGCACCGGCCAACUACGUGCCAGCAGCCGCGGUAAUACGUAGGGUGCGAGCGUUGUCCGGAAUUAUUGGGCGUAAAGGGC